UACGGAGGGUGCGAGCGUUGUCCGGAAUCAUUGGGCGUAAAGGGCGCGUAGGUGGUGCGGUCAGUCAGUGGUGAAAGCGCGGGGCUCAACUCCGCGUCGGCCAUUGAUACUGCUGCACUUGAGCACUGUAGAGGCAGGCGGAAUUCCGGGUGUAGCGGUGGAAUGCGUAGAGAUCCGGAAGAACACCGGUGGCGAAGGCGGCCUGCUGGGCAGUGAGCUGGACACUGAGGCGCGACAGCGUGGGGAGCAAACAGG
Molecule: ribosomal RNA, 255 nt
Filed under: uncultured bacterium
Lineage: Bacteria
Description: partial 16S ribosomal RNA
Rfam family: Bacterial small subunit ribosomal RNA
Source: RNAcentral